RNAcentral lists this ribosomal RNA (253 nucleotides) under uncultured bacterium. RNAcentral's name for it is "partial 16S ribosomal RNA". It matches the Rfam family "Bacterial small subunit ribosomal RNA", at positions 524 to 776 of the family's 1533-position model. The record is from RNAcentral.
UACGUAGGGGGCUAGCGUUGUCCGGAAUCAUUGGGCGUAAAGCGCGUGUAGGCGGUCCGGUAAGUCCGCUGUGAAAGUCGAGGGCUCAACCCUCGAAUGCCGGUGGAUACUGUCGGGCUUGAGUACGGGAGAGGCGAGUGGAAUUCCUGGUGUAGCGGUGAAAUGCGCAGAUAUCAGGAGGAACACCGAUUGCGAAGGCAGCUCGCUGGAACGUUACUGACGCUGAGGCGCGAAAGCGUGGGGAGCAAACAGA